CCAGACUCCUACGGGAGGCAGCAGUGGGGAAUAUUGGGCAAUGGGCGCAAGCCUGACCCAGCAAGGCCGCGUGAAGGAAGAAGGCUUUCGGGUUGUAAACUUCUUUUCUCAGGGACGAAGAAAGUGACGGUACCUGAGGAAUAAGCCCCGGCUAACUACGUGCCAGCAGCCGCGGUAAUACGUAGGGGGCAAGCGUUAUCCGGAUUUACUGGGUGUAAAGGGAGCGUAGACGGAAAGGCAAGUCAGAAGUGAAAGCCCGAGGCUCAACCAUGGGACUGCUUUUGAAACUGUCAAUCUAGAGUACGGGAGAGAUAAGAGGAAUUCCUAGUGUAGCGGUGAAAUGCGUAGAUAUUAGGAGGAACACCAGUGGCGAAGGCGUCUUACUGGACCGAAACUGACGUUGAGGCUCGAAAGCGUGGGGAGCAAACAGGAUUAGAUACCCCAGUAA
This 448-nucleotide ribosomal RNA is filed under the name uncultured bacterium. RNAcentral describes it as "bacterial SSU rRNA". It matches the Rfam family "Bacterial small subunit ribosomal RNA", at positions 331 to 793 of the family's 1533-position model. The record is from RNAcentral.